Molecule: ribosomal RNA, 475 nt
Filed under: uncultured organism
Description: bacterial SSU rRNA
Rfam family: Bacterial small subunit ribosomal RNA
Source: RNAcentral
AUUGAACGCUGGCGGCAUGCCUUACACAUGCAAGUCGAACGGUAACAGGUCUUCGGAUGCUGACGAGUGGCGAACGGGUGAGUAAUACAUCGGAACGUGCCCGAUCGUGGGGGAUAACGGAGCGAAAGCUUUGCUAAUACCGCAUACGAUCUACGGAUGAAAGCAGGGGACCGCAAGGCCUUGCACGGACGGAGCGGCCGAUGGCAGAUUAGGUAGUUGGUGGGAUAAAAGCUUACCAAGCCGACGAUCUGUAGCUGGUCUGAGAGGACGACCAGCCACACUGGGACUGAGACACGGCCCAGACUCCUACGGGAGGCAGCAGUGGGGAAUUUUGGACAAUGGGCGCAAGCCUGAUCCAGCCAUGCCGCGUGCAGGAUGAAGGCCUUCGGGUUGUAAACUGCUUUUGUACGGAACGAAAAGACUCUGGUUAAUACCUGGGGUCCAUGACGGUACCGUAAGAAUAAGCACCGGCUAA